GAAUCCAUCCGUCGGUCGGGCUUCACGGUCCGCACUGGUGUGAUGGAUUCCUACCUUCUGAAUAACCAGCAUGUCAUUAAUUUGGUGCGUUGGGGAAGCAGGACUGUUACUUUGAAAAAUUAGAGUGUUUAAAGCAAGCUAACGCUUGAAUACAUUAGCAUGGAAUAAUGAAAUAGGACGUUCGAUCCUAUUUUGUUGGUUUCUAGGAUUGACGUA
This 216-nucleotide ribosomal RNA is filed under the name Campeiostachys nutans. RNAcentral describes it as "Elymus nutans partial small subunit ribosomal RNA". The stretch from base 47 to 216 matches the Rfam family "Eukaryotic small subunit ribosomal RNA", at positions 692 to 864 of the family's 1831-position model. The record is from RNAcentral. Lineage: Eukaryota; Viridiplantae; Streptophyta; Magnoliopsida; Poales; Poaceae.